AAGUCGUAACAAGGUUUCCGUAGGUGAACCUGCGGAAGGAUCAUUAAUACGCUUUUGUUUGUAACAAAACAAAACGUUUUAAACCCCAAAAUUGAAAUAGUGGAAACAUAACUUCCGGAUGCGAAUGUUGGGGAACUGAGUAAAAUCGGUUCUUUGAAAAGGGGACUUCAAGCAAUUGACACUUCAGAAGUAGAGCAGUGAGGUGAAACUCGAAAGAGUUUGGUUCUGAAAAACAUUUGUAUCCGGUUAUCAAAUCUGUUCUACCAAUUUAUCAAACAAUAAACCCCAUGUACAACAACUUGAACUAAACAUUUUUUUGUUGUCUGCUUUGCGGCAGAUGUGCAAAGAAAAAACCUGAACUUAAGAACAACUCUUAACAACGGAUAUCUUGGUUCUC
This 397-nucleotide unclassified non-coding RNA is filed under the name fungal sp. Its description in RNAcentral is "partial internal transcribed spacer region". The stretch from base 1 to 46 matches the Rfam family "Eukaryotic small subunit ribosomal RNA", at positions 1786 to 1831 of the family's 1831-position model. Lineage: Eukaryota; Fungi. The record is from RNAcentral.